CGGAGGGGCUUAGCCUUGGGGCAGGGGCAUCUGCCACCCGUAUGGGGACAUUGUACACCUCCAAGCAGUAAAGAUGAGGUGGAGAUUAAAGCUGAGCCAGGAAUUUUUGGGGUCAGGGUGGCACAGAAUCAGCUUCAAGAACCACAGGCAUAAAAUCAGAAAGCGUGCCCUUGGACUAAAAGCGUUAACUCUCACUUCUCAAAGCAAUUUGGAAAUUCUCCAUUGAUAAUGGGAACUGCAGAUGCCGGAGAAUCCGAGAUCCUAAGAUGCUGCUUGGCCUGCUGUGUUCAUCCAGCUCCACACUUCGUUAUCUUGGAAACGCUCCAUUAUUUUGUUUUAAUUUCCAAUCUCCAACAUCUGCAGGAUUCUGCUAUUGAAGAUCCACCAGCUAAGUGGCAACAGUCACAGGAUUCUAAGAAAAGUCACAGGGAUUUGGAACUGCUCAGGGAGAUCAUCCAGAAAUGGACCUGAUGAUGUACAAGUUGUGCCCAGUAACACUUGGACAAUGGCACGGACAUAGCUGUGAUAUAACUAAGAUCUUCUAAGACGCAUCACCUCACACUCCUGACUUGUGCUUUGUAGAUAGUAGGAAGUGCUUUGGGGAAAAUCAGAUAUGAAGAUGGGAAGUUGGACAAACUGAGAAGCUGCCGAAACAAAACAUUUUGCCAGCUACACCGUAAAACGUGAUCCAAUUUAACAUUGGGCAAUCAUUUAAAUGCUACUCGACUGGGAAAGGUUUUCUGCAGCUUUUCCCUCUCAACUUUUGAAACUCAAAAUAAAUA
Molecule: long non-coding RNA, 782 nt
Organism: Stegostoma tigrinum
Lineage: Eukaryota; Metazoa; Chordata; Chondrichthyes; Orectolobiformes; Stegostomatidae
Exons: 3
Source: RefSeq, a predicted model, not a curated record